This 142-nucleotide unclassified non-coding RNA is filed under the name uncultured Teratosphaeriaceae. RNAcentral describes it as "sequence contains ITS2". Lineage: Eukaryota; Fungi; Ascomycota; Dothideomycetes; Mycosphaerellales; Teratosphaeriaceae. The record is from RNAcentral.
ACACCCAUCAAGCCUGGCUUGGUCUUGGGCGCGGGACCUUCCCACGCCCCGAUUUCGCCGGCUGGACGACCCCGAUCUCAAGCGUUGAGGUAACAAUCUCGCUGGGGAGACGGGCGGACACGCCGUUAAACCUUUCAAUCAA